UUAGUUCGUGGAGUGAUUUGUCUGGUUAAUUCCGUUAACGAACGAGACCUUAAUCUGCUAAAUAGACAGACCAACCUUUUGGUUGGAUCAUGAAACCUUCGGGUUUCCUGUCUUCUUAGAGAUACAGUUGGCUUUAAGCCAAAGGAAGUUUGAGGCAAUAACAGGUC
RNAcentral lists this ribosomal RNA (167 nucleotides) under uncultured fungus. RNAcentral describes it as "partial small subunit ribosomal RNA". It matches the Rfam family "Eukaryotic small subunit ribosomal RNA", at positions 1294 to 1462 of the family's 1831-position model. The record is from RNAcentral. Lineage: Eukaryota; Fungi.